GGACAAUAAGCACACAGUUUUUGGCAGAGUGGUGAAAGGAAUGGAUGUUGUACAGUCUUUAGAGAAAGUGAAGACCGACAAAGGUGACAAGCCAUACCAGGAUGUAAAAAUAUUGAAUGUGACUGUUCCAAAGUCUUAAAUGGGUUCUUGUUGUGGCUAUGCUCCUUAUUGGAUAGUUUACAUCUGCUUUAUUCUGGAGAACUGGAAGGAGUACUACGACUUUACGUUGGAAAGUAUUGCUAUCCUCGUUGGACCCUGAUCUGACAUGUAUCUGUGUAAUCUAUGACUUCUGGUACUUUUCUCAAAACCUGCUAUACAACAUAGAUUCCUUCAGUUUUAAGAAACUUUUCGUGCCUCCGGGAAGUAGAAUUCCACUUGCUUCACUCAAGUUGAAAGGAUAUUAGUGAAUGGGAGUUGCUGGCUGAUCUGGUAUUAGGAUUAGCUCAUUGCCACAAGGAGUGUACGAUCAGCGUUUUCCACUCAAGAUUCAUUAGUGAGACAGAACGGCCUAGCUUAUUAUCAAUGUUCAUGUUGUGGACAGUAAUUUAUAGAGUUAGAGACCUAGAUGUUGUUUUCGCGGUUUCAACUGAACUACAACAAGUGUAGACCUUUUUGACAUCUUUUUAAGUCCUAGCUUCAUAUAUUUGAAUUGUAGCUGCAGUUACUGUACAUGACCCUAUUAUGA
RNAcentral lists this unclassified non-coding RNA (685 nucleotides) under Hevea brasiliensis (rubber tree). The record is from RNAcentral. Lineage: Eukaryota; Viridiplantae; Streptophyta; Magnoliopsida; Malpighiales; Euphorbiaceae.